GACGAACGCUGGCGGCGUGCUUAACACAUGCGAGUCGAACGGAAAGGCCCUGCUUUUGUGGGGUGCUCGAGUGGCGAACGGGUGAGUAACACGUGAGUAACCUGCCCUUGACUUUGGGAUAACUUCAGGAAACUGGGGCUAAUACCGGAUAGGAGCUCCUGCUGCAUGGUGGGGGUUGGAAAGUUUCGGCGGUUGGGGAUGGACUCGCGGCUUAUCAGCUUGUUGGUGGGGUAGUGGCUUACCAAGGCUUUGACGGGUAGCCGGCCUGAGAGGGUGACCGGCCACAUUGGGACUGAGGUGCGGCCCAGACUCCUACGGGAGGCAGGGGUGGGGAAUAUUGCACAAUGGGCGGAAGCCUGAUGCAGCAACGCCGCGUGCGGGAUGACGGCCUUCGGGUUGUAAACCGCUUUCGCCUGUGACGAAGCGUGAGUGACGGUAAUGGGUAAAGAAGCACCGGCUAACUACGU
This 467-nucleotide ribosomal RNA is filed under the name uncultured bacterium. RNAcentral describes it as "partial 16S ribosomal RNA". It matches the Rfam family "Bacterial small subunit ribosomal RNA", at positions 28 to 506 of the family's 1533-position model. The record is from RNAcentral.